Malus domestica (apple) is the source of this 270-nucleotide long non-coding RNA. RefSeq lists it as uncharacterized. The record is from RefSeq and is a predicted model, not a curated record. Lineage: Eukaryota; Viridiplantae; Streptophyta; Magnoliopsida; Rosales; Rosaceae.
CUCUCUCUCUCUGGCCCUUUUUCCUUUUCAGUGUAGUUUCUGGUUCUCUGGGGAUUGUCCUCAACUGCGUUCUCUACUUUUCUUUCUUUCGUUUCAAGAUUCGUUUGAAAUGGAUAAAAAAACAGUGCAUGUUUUCAAGGUUUUGUUCGGAGUCUUAGGAAAUGGCACCGCUUUCUUCCUCUUCUUGUCACCCACAAUUACAUUUAAGAGGAUCAUGAGGAAGAAAUGCACAGAGCAGUUCUCAGGCAUUCCCUACGUGAUGACUAUGCU